UUUUAGGUCGAUCUGCUCCAUGAAAUAAAUUUAAAUAGCUGCAGUAUAUUGACUGUACAAAGGUAGCAUAAUAAAUUGUCUUUUAAUUGAAGAAUUGAAUGAAUGAAUUGAUGAAAUAACAAACUGUCUCUAUUUUAUUAAAUGAAUUUAAAUUUUUAGUAAAAAUUCUGAAAUUUAAUUAUGGGACGAUAAGACCCUAUAGAAUUUUAUUUAAAUAAUUAUUUAUUUAAAUUAUUUUUGAAUAUAUAAUUAAUUUAAAUUUGAUUGGGAGGAUUGGUAAAUAAAAAUAACUUUAUCUAAAAAUUAAUUUUGAUGAAAAGAUUUAUUUUUGACUUAUAAUUUAUGAUUAAAAGAAUAAAUUACCUUAGGGAUAACAGCGUUAAUAUCUUUUGAUAGACCACAUUGAUAAAGAUGUUUGCGACCUCGAUGUUGAAUUAAGAGAAAAGUUAAACGCAGGAGUUUAAAAUUUUAAGUCUGUUCGACUUUUAAAAUCUUACAUGAUUUGAGUUCAA
This 512-nucleotide ribosomal RNA is filed under the name Apis cerana (Asiatic honeybee). RNAcentral describes it as "partial 16S ribosomal RNA". The stretch from base 370 to 512 matches the Rfam family "Bacterial large subunit ribosomal RNA", at positions 2473 to 2614 of the family's 2925-position model. The record is from RNAcentral. Lineage: Eukaryota; Metazoa; Arthropoda; Insecta; Hymenoptera; Apidae.